This 403-nucleotide ribosomal RNA is filed under the name uncultured bacterium. RNAcentral's name for it is "bacterial SSU rRNA". It matches the Rfam family "Bacterial small subunit ribosomal RNA", at positions 976 to 1380 of the family's 1533-position model. The record is from RNAcentral.
AAGGCUUGACAUACACCGGAAUCAUUCAGAGAUGGGUGAGUCUUCGGACUGGUGUACAGGUGGUGCAUGGUUGUCGUCAGCUCGUGUCGUGAGAUGUUGGGUUAAGUCCCGCAACGAGCGCAACCCUCGUUCUAUGUUGCCAGCACGUCAUGGUGGGGACUCAUAGGAGACUGCCGGGGUCAACUCGGAGGAAGGUGGGGAUGACGUCAAAUCAUCAUGCCCCUUAUGUCUUGGGCUUCACGCAUGCUACAAUGGCCGGUACAAAGGGCUGCGAUACCGUAAGGUGGAGCGAAUCCCAAAAAACCGGUCUCAGUUCGGAUUGGGGUCUGCAACUCGACCCCAUGAAGUCGGAGUCGCUAGUAAUCGCAGAUCAGCAACGCUGCGGUGAAUACGUUCCCGGGCC